AUAUUAUUUCAAUUUCAAUUUUUUCACCAAAUUACUUUGCUGCAUGCUAACGCAACGAACUACGGGAAACCCACCGCAUCGAAAUUACCGUACCCAUUCUCUUCAAAUCUUGAAGUUCAACCGCCUCUCCAAAACCCUAAAUCUUGGCAAUCCACCGUACGAUUGAUCCUUAGCGUCCUCAUGGAUCCUCCGAAACAGUCACAACACCAACCCAUCAUCAAAGACAAAGACCUCUUUGAAGCCGCGGAAACUGGAGAUUCAUCAACUUUUCAAUCACUCGCCCCGGAACACCUCUCCAAAUCUCUAUCUUUAAAAAACGAAGAUGGCCGCUCCCUCCUCCACGUCGCCGUCUCUUCCCGUCGCCCCGAGCUGGUGAAAAUACUGUCAAAUGUCGAUGAGUCGGCCAAGGUGAUCAACGCUGGAGAUGAAGAAGGGUGGGCUCCUAUUCAUUCGGCGGCUAGCAUUGGGAACACGGAAAUUUUGGAAAUUUUGCUGAGCAAAGGAGCUGAUGUCAAUUUGAAGAAUGAUGGUGGGCGUACUGCUCUUCAUUAUGCUGCCAGCAAGGGAUGGUUGAAGAUUGCCGAGCUUCUGAUCGCGCAUGGUGCAAAAAUUAAUUCGAAGGACAAGGUUGGCUGUACCCCAUUGCAUCGGGGAGCUAGCUUGGGGAAUUCAGAGUUGUGUGAACUGUUAAUUGAGGAAGGUGCAGAAGUUGAUGCUUCUGAUAAAGCUGGUCAAACUCCACUUAUGCAUGCAGUGAUUUGCCAAAACAAACAGGUAGCUCUGCUUCUAAUAAGACAUGGAGCAGAUGUUGAUAUGCAAGACAAUGAAGGGUUCACCGUGCUUGGUCGGGCUUCAAAUGAUUUUAGACAUACAUUGGUCGAUGCUGCGAAAGCUAUGCUUGAAGGAUGAAUUCUUAGAGCUUGUUACAGAACUAGAUUGUGUUGUGAGUGACUUACUUGCUGAAGGAGUGCAUAGUCAGGACUCAAGACUGACCCAUCUGGGGCUAAAACAAAGAACUGAAUAUUGCCAAUCGUUUGACUCAUCUGGUGUUAAAUAUAUCAGCUAUUUGUAACUUUACUCGAUGGAAACUUUAGGAGUUCAAAAUUUUAAGCUUCAGAUACUGCUUAACUUUCUAA
Mangifera indica (mango) is the source of this 1136-nucleotide RNA transcript. It is a transcript of the gene named 26S proteasome non-ATPase regulatory subunit 10-like, with no coding region annotated. The record is from RefSeq and is a predicted model, not a curated record. NCBI's taxonomy places the organism in Eukaryota, Viridiplantae, Streptophyta, Magnoliopsida, Sapindales, Anacardiaceae. The transcript is spliced from 6 exons.